RNAcentral lists this ribosomal RNA (273 nucleotides) under uncultured soil bacterium. RNAcentral describes it as "partial 16S ribosomal RNA". It matches the Rfam family "Bacterial small subunit ribosomal RNA", at positions 26 to 299 of the family's 1533-position model. The record is from RNAcentral.
AGAUUGAACGCUGGCGGCAGGCCUAACACAUGCAAGUCGAGCGGUAGAGAGGUGCUUGCACCUCUUGAGAGCGGCGGACGGGUGAGUAAUGCCUAGGAAUCUGCCUAGUGGUGGGGGAUAACGUUCGGAAACGGACGCUAAUACCGCAUACGUCCUACGGGAGAAAGCGGGGGACCUUCGGGCCUCGCGCCAUUAGAUGAGCCUAGGUCGGAUUAGCUAGUUGGUGAGGUAAUGGCUCACCGAAGGCGACGAUCCGUAACUGGUCUGGAGAGG